CCCGUUCUUGUCUGGGGAGCAGAUGAUGUUCAAUGAACGUUUAGUGAGAGCAUUUCUGCUGAAACCCUAUUAAAAAUCACCCCCGCCCGUGUCUUUAGCAUGCGAGCGGAAUUUUUGAACGG
This is a small nuclear RNA of Culicoides brevitarsis, 122 nucleotides long. RefSeq annotates it as U4atac minor spliceosomal RNA. Lineage: Eukaryota; Metazoa; Arthropoda; Insecta; Diptera; Ceratopogonidae. The record is from RefSeq and is a predicted model, not a curated record. The transcript has a single exon.